This 253-nucleotide ribosomal RNA is filed under the name uncultured bacterium. Its description in RNAcentral is "partial 16S ribosomal RNA". It matches the Rfam family "Bacterial small subunit ribosomal RNA", at positions 524 to 776 of the family's 1533-position model. The record is from RNAcentral.
UACGAAGGGGGCUAGCGUUGCUCGGAAUCACUGGGCGUAAAGCGCACGUAGGCGGAUUGCUAAGUCAGGGGUGAAAUCCUGGAGCUCAACUCCAGAACUGCCUUUGAUACUGCCGUGCUUGAGGACUGGAGAGGAGACUGGAAUUUACGGUGUAGCGGUGAAAUGCGUAGAUAUCGUAAGGAAGACCAGUGGCGAAGGCGGGUCUCUGGACAGUUCCUGACGCUGAGGCACGAAGGCCAGGGGAGCAAACGGG